Long non-coding RNA from Cyprinus carpio (common carp), 1156 nucleotides. The record is from Ensembl. NCBI's taxonomy places the organism in Eukaryota, Metazoa, Chordata, Actinopteri, Cypriniformes, Cyprinidae.
AUGGGCUUGAUUCACAAGAAAGGUCUCGAUGGAUGCAUCCAACACGGGUUGGGGAGCUCUGUGUGAAAGCAGACCGACCUUCGAUUCCUGGUCGAAUACAGAAGGCUGGCUACACAUCAACUGCUUCAAGAUGAUGGCAGUAUGUCGAGCCCUUCAAACCUUCUUACUGGACCUGAAGGGACACCACGUGCUAGUCCGCUCAGACAGCAUGACAGUGGUGUCCUACAUAAAUUGCCUGGACAGGCUCAACUCAAAAUGCCUUUUCGAGAUGGUAAAAUGCCUCUUGGCGUGGGCACAUCUCAACCUGCGUUCAUUGAAGAGAGCACAUGUGCUUGGCAUUUUGAACCGAGGAGCAGACAUGCAAUCUCGAAGCAACAUCGCCUCAGAGGAGUGGAUGCUCCACCCACAAUCGGUUCAGAAAAUCUGGGAGAUCUUUGGCAGGGCAGAGGUCGACCUCUUUGCCUCAAAAGACAACUGUCAUUGCCCAACUUAUUUUUUGAAGAGUGAGGACGCCUUGGCCCACGGUUGGCCCAACCUCCUCCUAUAUGCUUUUCCCCUGAUCGUUAUGAUCACUCAGGUAAUCAGACGAGUCAGGGAACACAGACACAGACUCCUUCUGGUGGCCCCGCUCUGGAGGAACCAGCUUUGCGUUUCAGAGCUGUCUCAGCUACUGACAGCAGUCCUGUGGCCUAUUCCCCUGAGGAAGGACCUUCUCUCUCAGGCAAACAGGACGAUUUGGCACCCCCAGCUUGAGCUGUGGGCUCUGCAACUCUGGGCUCUCAAUGGGAAUCAGUAGAUCUCCUUGAGAGAGUCCUGAAUACUAUCUCACAGGCUAGAGACCAUCUACAUGACGCCUCUAUGCCCUUAAGUGUUCGGUCUUUUCCGCCUGGUGCACAACCUGUGGCAAAGACCCAGUUUCAUGUGACAUAUUGGUGAUAUUGUCCUACCUACAAGAGCUGUUGGACAAGGGCCACUCCCCUUCCACGCUCAAGGUCUGUGUGGCAGCUAUAGCAUUUUUCCAUGGUCCUAUUGUCGGACAGUCUGUGGGCCGAAACAACUUAGUUUUCCGUUUCCUGAGAGGAUCCAGGAGGCUCUAUCCGCCUCGAUCCCCCACAGUCCCUGUUUGGGACCUGCCCACAGUUCUGAGAGCCCUCAG